RNAcentral lists this transfer RNA (74 nucleotides) under Camelus bactrianus (Bactrian camel). It matches the Rfam family "tRNA". From Rfam's summary of the family: Transfer RNA (tRNA) molecules are approximately 80 nucleotides in length. Their secondary structure includes four short double-helical elements and three loops (D, anti-codon, and T loops). Further hydrogen bonds mediate the characteristic L-shaped molecular structure. tRNAs have two regions of fundamental functional importance: the anti-codon, which is responsible for specific mRNA codon recognition, and the 3' end, to which the tRNAs corresponding amino acid is attached (by aminoacyl-tRNA synthetases). tRNAs cope with the degeneracy of the genetic code in two manners: having more than one tRNA (with a specific anti-codon) for a particular amino acid; and 'wobble' base-pairing, i.e. permitting non-standard base-pairing at the 3rd anti-codon position. The record is from Rfam by way of RNAcentral. RNAcentral also lists the same sequence under 2 other names. Lineage: Eukaryota; Metazoa; Chordata; Mammalia; Artiodactyla; Camelidae.
GGGGGUAUAGCUCAUAGUGAUAGAGCAUGUGCUUAGUAUGCACAGGGUCCUGAGUUCAAUCCCCAGUACCUCCU